Molecule: ribosomal RNA, 254 nt
Filed under: uncultured bacterium
Lineage: Bacteria
Description: partial 16S ribosomal RNA
Rfam family: Bacterial small subunit ribosomal RNA
Source: RNAcentral
UACGUAGGCAGCAAGCGUUACUCGGAAUUACUGGGCGUAAAGCGCGCGCAGGCGGCUAUCCAAGUCAGUGGUGAAAGCCCGGAGCUCAACUCCGGAACUGCCAUUGAAACUGUUUAGCUUGAGGACGAGAGAGGUGAGUGGAAUUCCCAGUGUAGAGGUGAAAUUCGUAGAUAUUGGGAAGAACACCGGUGGCGAAGGCGGCUCACUGGCUCGUAUCUGACGCUCAGGCGCGACAGCGUGGGGGAUCAAACAGG